CAAUCACGUUGUAUUCUUGGUUGU
RNAcentral lists this non-coding RNA (24 nucleotides) under Arabidopsis thaliana (thale cress). The record is from RNAcentral. Lineage: Eukaryota; Viridiplantae; Streptophyta; Magnoliopsida; Brassicales; Brassicaceae.